AGGGCGCUUUGGUGUUGGCUGCGGCCCAAGUUCCUUGGAACAGGACAUCGCGGAGGGUGAGAAUCCCGUACGUGGCCGCGUGCCUUCGCCGUGUAAAGCCCCUUCGACGAGUCGAGUUGUUUGGGAAUGCAGCUCUAAUUGGGAGGUAAAUUUCUUCUAAAGCUAAAUACUGGCCAGAGACCGAUAGCGCACAAGUAGAGUGAUCGAAAGAUGAAAAGCACUUUGGAAAGAGAGUCAAAAAGCACGUGAAAUUGUUGAAAGGGAAGCGCUUGCAGCCAGACAUGCCCGUGGCUGCUCAUCCAGACCCCCCAAGGUCUGGUGCACUCUCCCACGGGCAGGCCAGCAUCGGUUUGAGCGGUUGGAUAAAGGCUCUGGGAAUGUAGCUCCCCUUUGGGGAGUGUUAUAGCCCGUUGCGGAAUGCAGCCAGCUCGGACCGAGGCCCGCGCGCAUGCUAGGAUGCUGGCGUAAUGGCUGUAAGCGGCCCGUCUUGAAACACGGACCAAGGAGUCUAACAUCUAUGCGAGUGUUUGGGUGUCAAGCCCGGGCGCGCAAUGAAAGUGAAUGGAGGUGGAAACCCCUUUGAGGGCGCACCAUCGACCGAUCCUGAUGUCUUCGGAUGGAUUUGAGUAGGAG
This 633-nucleotide ribosomal RNA is filed under the name Posidoniomyces atricolor. Its description in RNAcentral is "partial large subunit ribosomal RNA". It matches the Rfam family "Eukaryotic large subunit ribosomal RNA", at positions 156 to 800 of the family's 3401-position model. Lineage: Eukaryota; Fungi; Ascomycota; Dothideomycetes; Pleosporales; Aigialaceae. The record is from RNAcentral.